Molecule: transfer RNA, 78 nt
Filed under: archaeon
Lineage: Archaea
Description: tRNA-Met
Rfam family: tRNA
About the family: Transfer RNA (tRNA) molecules are approximately 80 nucleotides in length.
Source: RNAcentral
AGCGGGGUGGGGCAGUAAGGAGUGCCCGCCGGGCUCAUAACCCGGAGGUCGGAGGUUCAAAUCCUUCCCCCGCUACCA